Molecule: unclassified non-coding RNA, 217 nt
Filed under: Hevea brasiliensis (rubber tree)
Lineage: Eukaryota; Viridiplantae; Streptophyta; Magnoliopsida; Malpighiales; Euphorbiaceae
Source: RNAcentral
GCAUCUCAUAGACUGAACAAGUAUACUUGUGACUUAGGUCACUGGCUAGAAAAUUAUGAGUCGUACCGUCAGCUUCUAUUUUGCUUUGACCUGGAGACUUUUUAAGACCCAUUCCAUACAUCUUCUGUCUCGUGAUUACAACAUCUUGCCACCUCUUUUCAGUUGCAUAUAGAUUUGACAAGAGCACGAAGUAGCCAGCAGCUCUAUCAGCUUCAAG